CCGGGCGUAUUUCAAUUGGUAGAUUGCGUGAUUUGGGAUCAUGUGGUUGUGGGUUCGAGUCCCAUCGCUCGGU
RNAcentral lists this transfer RNA (73 nucleotides) under Butyrivibrio sp. RNAcentral describes it as "tRNA-Pro". It matches the Rfam family "tRNA". Rfam says of the family: Transfer RNA (tRNA) molecules are approximately 80 nucleotides in length. Their secondary structure includes four short double-helical elements and three loops (D, anti-codon, and T loops). Lineage: Bacteria; Bacillati; Bacillota; Clostridia; Lachnospirales; Lachnospiraceae. The record is from RNAcentral. RNAcentral also lists the same sequence under 1 other name.